GACGAACGCUGGCGGCGUGCUUAACACAUGCAAGUCGAACGGAAAGGCCCUGCUUUUGUGGGGUGCUCGAGUGGCGAACGGGUGAGUAACACGUGAGUAACCUGCCCUUGACUUUGGGAUAACUUCAGGAAACUGGGGCUAAUACCGGAUAGGAGCUCCUGCUGCAUGGUGGGGGUUGGAAAGUUUCGGCGGUUGGGGAUGGACUCGCGGCUUAUCAGCUUGUUGGUGGGGUAGUGGCUUACCAAGGCUUUGACGGGUAGCCGGCCUGAGAGGGUGACCGGCGAGAUUGGGACUGAGAUACGGCGCAGAGUAGUACGGGAGGCAGCAGUGGGGAAUAUUGCACAAUGGGCGGAAGCCUGAUGCAGCAACGCCGCGUGCGGGAUGACGGACUUCGGGUUGUAAACCGCUUUCGCCUGUGACGAAGCGUGAGUGACGGUAAUGGGUAAAGAAGCACCGGCUAACUACGUG
Molecule: ribosomal RNA, 468 nt
Filed under: uncultured bacterium
Lineage: Bacteria
Description: partial 16S ribosomal RNA
Rfam family: Bacterial small subunit ribosomal RNA
Source: RNAcentral